CUAGAAAUGAGAAGGCCGCACCUCCAGCAGAAAGGUAAGGGGAGCCCCUAGAGAGGGGAGUCUGGAGGGAGCAGAGCUGCUGAGCCUGAAACUGGAUGAUCCUGCUGAGUCUGUCUGCUGCUGAGCAUAUACUGAGCCUAAGACUGGCUGAUGCUGACCGUGAGACUGGCUGAUGCUGUUCAUGGCUCCUGCUGCAGACCCUGAUUACAACUGCUUCUGAGACUGGCUGCUGCUGAUCCUGAUAACAGCUGUUGAGUGUGGGCCUGGUCGCUGCUGACCCUGACUCCUAGUACUGAGCCUGGCUGCUGCUGCUGACCCUGACUCCUGGUACUGAGCCUGACUGCUGCUGCUGACCCUGACUCCUGGUACUGAGCCU
Molecule: non-coding RNA, 376 nt
Organism: Pelobates cultripes (western spadefoot toad)
Lineage: Eukaryota; Metazoa; Chordata; Amphibia; Anura; Pelobatidae
Source: the annotation of a GenBank genome assembly